GGCGGGGGGAACAAGAGCGUAUGGUGGAUGCCUUGGCUUCAAAUGGCGAUGAAGGACGUGGUGUAACUGCGAUAAGCGUCGGGGAGGUGUUGAACAACCUUUGAUCCGGCGAUGUCCGAAUGGGGAAACCCCUUUGCGUAAAACGCAUUGAUCUGCCUGUAUGUUUAGACUUUUGACACAAAUUAAUAGACGGCUGCCAGUAUGAUACCAGCAACCGUCUUUCCUCAUGUCCUGGUCAGCUUCAACUCAUGAAGUAGACGAGGACUAUGAAUGCGACACCCAGGAUAGUGGUAACGAGAUACCACUUCCAGCUAUUUUUACAGAGUUCUUUAUUCCGCUUUUCCAGCGCUUGCUGGAAAGGCGCGCGUUGGUCUUUCAUAUCCGAGUGAAAUUUUUUCAUGGAAGAUCUCCUUAGGUUAAGAACUGCAAUUUCACGCUAUAUAUUAUUAGCAUAAUAAUAUAUAUUAGUCAAGAGUCAAAACAUACAGGCAGAGGCGAACCCGCUGAAGUAAAACAUUUCAGUAAGCGGAGGAAAAGAAAAUAACGAGAUACCCAAGUUGGUGCUUUUACUAAGGAGUACCAAUUUGUGUAUCUCUCAUUCCCCAAGUAGCGGCGAGUGAAAAGGGAACAGCCCAAACCAGUUUUUUAAGGCGAUUACAUCAAGAUAAGAAACUGGGGUUGUAAGGUAGCGACGUCAAUUUAUUUUGGGAAAGCAAGAAAUUACAUGGUUAGGAGAACGGUCCUGGAAAGGCCGGCCAAAGAGGGUGAUAGCCCCGUAUACGAAAAUUAAUGUAUGCUUUCUGUUGCUAUUCUUGAGUACUGCCCCGUACGGAGACUGGGCAGGAAUCUGGGGGGACUAUGCCCCUAAGGCUAAAUACAUUUGAAGACCGAUAGUGAACAAGUACCGUGAGGGAAAGGUGAAAAGCAGCCCGGUGAGGGCGGUGAAAUAGUACCUGAAACCAUAUGCUUACAAGGAGUCGGAGCCCGCAAGGGUGACGGCGUGCCUAUUGAAGAAUGAGCCAACGAGUUUUUGGAUUUUACUCGUCUAAGUGGGUGAUUCCACGCAGGCAGAGGGAAACCGAGUGUGAAUAGCGCGUCUAAAAUUAGUGAGUGGGUCCGUGCAUAGCACAGGGAAAUUCGAAUAUCGAAUAUCGAAAUUCUAAACAAAUUCAAAUUUCAAAAUCAAAAUGUUCAAAACGCGAAUAGCUUUGAAUUUUGGUCAUUUGAGAUUUGAUAUUGUUUAGGAUUUAGGGUUUCGUGCUUAGGAUUUUCAUGCGCUAUGCGUGCGGUCUGCUCAUUAAUUUUUAAGUAGAAUUCAAAAGACCCGAAACCAGGUGAGCUUGCCAUGGGCAGGGUGAAUGUCGGGUAACACCGACAGGAGGCCCGAACCGGUAGGUCGUACAACGCCUUCGGAUGACCUGUGGUAAGGAGUGAAAAGCUAAUCGAACCUGGAAAUAGCUGGUUCUCUGCGAAAUAGUUUUAGGACUAGCCCUGGAUCAUACUGCAUAGGAGGUAAAGCUACUGGAUGGUCUGUAAUUGUCGAAAGACAGGCAGACCAACCAAACUCUGAAUGCCUAUGUAUGUUAUUCCGGGAGUCAGCAGGCGGGGGCUAAGCUCCGUCGUGCAAGAGGGGAAGAGCCCAGACCGUCAACUAAGGUCCCUAAAUCUACGCUAAGUGGGGAAGGAGGUGGAGUUUCUCAAACAGCGAGGAGGUUGGCUUA
This 1721-nucleotide ribosomal RNA is filed under the name bacterium. Its description in RNAcentral is "partial 23S ribosomal RNA". It matches the Rfam family "Bacterial large subunit ribosomal RNA", at positions 1 to 1108 of the family's 2925-position model. The record is from RNAcentral.